AGUUUGGACUGCGAAUGGCUCAUUAUAUCAGUUAUAGUUUAUUUGGUGAAGUGUACUACUUGGAUAACCGUAGUAAUUCUAGGGCUAAUACAUGAGAAAGUCCUCUGGUGAGGUGUGUUUAUUAGAAUGAAAACCAUAUGCUUCGGCAUGAUAGUGAGUAAUAGUAACCUAUCGUAUCGCAUGCUUAAUGUAGCGAUGAGUCUUUCAAGUUUCUGCCCUAUCAGCUUUCGAUGGUAGUAUAUGGGCCUACCAUGGCAGUAACGGGUAACGAAGA
Molecule: ribosomal RNA, 274 nt
Filed under: uncultured Blastocystis sp.
Lineage: Eukaryota; Bigyra; Opalinata; Blastocystidae
Description: partial small subunit ribosomal RNA
Rfam family: Eukaryotic small subunit ribosomal RNA
Source: RNAcentral